GAGCUCAAAUUUAAAAUCUGGCGGUGUAUUCCGUCCGAGUUGUAGUCUAGAGAAGCAUCAUCCGUGCUGGACCAUGUACAAGUCUCUUGGAACAGAGCGUCAUAGAGGGUGAGAAUCCCGUCCUUGACAUGGACUCCCAGUGCUUUGUGUUGUGCUCUCAACGAGUCGAGUUGUUUGGGAAUGCAGCUCAAAAUGGGUGGUAAAUUCCAUCUAAAGCUAAAUAUUGGCGAGAGACCGAUAGCGAACAAGUACCGUGAGGGAAAGAUGAAAAGCACUUUGGAGAGAGAGUUAAACAGUACGUGAAAUUGUUGAAAUGGAAACGCUUGAAGUCAGUCGCGUUCUCUGGGAUUCAGCCUUGCUUCUGCUUGGUGCACUUCCUAGUUUACGGGCCAACAUGGAUUUUGACCGGUGGAAAAGGAUUUGGGGAAUGUGACACCUCCGGGUGUGUUAUAGCCCCUUGUCNCAUACAUCGGAUGGUAUCGAGGUUUCCGUGCACGCUUCNGUUGUGCUUUGAUG
Molecule: ribosomal RNA, 516 nt
Filed under: fungal endophyte sp. DM141
Lineage: Eukaryota; Fungi
Description: eukaryotic LSU rRNA
Rfam family: Eukaryotic large subunit ribosomal RNA
Source: RNAcentral